Molecule: ribosomal RNA, 382 nt
Filed under: uncultured eukaryote
Lineage: Eukaryota
Description: partial 18S ribosomal RNA
Rfam family: Eukaryotic small subunit ribosomal RNA
Source: RNAcentral
UGUAAGCGUAUACCAAAGUUGUUGCAGUUAAAACGCUCGUAGUCGGACUUUGGCAGUUCCGGAUGUGUGCACGUCGUGUGCGCACUUCGCGGGGAUUGCUUUUGUGGUCUUGCGUAGGAUGAGGCACUUUUAUUAGUGAACGUCCUCACGCAACCACUUUUUACUGUGAGAAAAUCAGAGUGCUCAAAGCUGGCAUUUGCCGUGAAUGUAUUAGCAUGGAAUAAUAGAAUAGGACUUGGUUCUAUUUUGUUGGUUUGUUGGGACUGAGUAAUGAUUAAGAGGGACAGUUGGGGGCAUUUGUAUUUCGGUGCUAGAGGUGAAAUUCUUAGAUUACCGAAAGACAAACUGCUGCGAAAGCGUCUGCCAAGGAUGUUUUCAUUGA